AGAUUGAACGCUGGCGGCAUGCCUAACACAUGCAAGUCGAACGGCAGCACAGCAGUAGCAAUACUGUGGGUGGCGAGUGGCGGACGGGUGAGUAAUGCAUCGGGACCUACCUGAACGUGGGGGAUAACGUAGGGAAACUUACGCUAAUACCGCAUACGUCCUACGGGAGAAAGCGGGGGAUCUUCGGACCUCGCGCGGUCAGACGGACCGAUGUUCGAUUAGCUAGUUGGUAAGGUAAUGGCUUACCAAGGCGACGAUCGAUAGC
RNAcentral lists this ribosomal RNA (265 nucleotides) under uncultured bacterium. RNAcentral's name for it is "partial small subunit ribosomal RNA". It matches the Rfam family "Bacterial small subunit ribosomal RNA", at positions 26 to 287 of the family's 1533-position model. The record is from RNAcentral.